GACGAACGCUUGCGGCGUGCUUAACACAUGCAAGUCGAACGGAAAGGCCCUGCUUUUGUGGGGUGCUCGAGUGGCGAACGGGUGAGUAACACGUGAGUAACCUGCCCUUGACUUUGGGAUAACUUCAGGAAACUGGGGCUAAUACCGGAUAGGAGCUCCUGCUGCAUGGUGGGGGUUGGAAAGUUUCGGCGGUUGGGGAUGGACUCGCGGCUUAUCAGCUUGUUGGUGGGGUAGUGGCUUACCAAGGCUUUGACGGGUAGCCGGCCUGAGAGGGUGACCGGCCACAUUGGGACUGAGAUACGGCCCAGACUCCUACGGGAGGCAGCAGUGGGGAAUAUUGCACAAUGGGCGGAAGCCUGAUGCAGCAACGCCGCGUGCGGGAUGACGGCCUUCGGGUUGUAAACCGCUUUCGCCUGUGACGAAGCGUGAGUGACGGUAAUGGGUAAAGAAGCACCGGCUAACUACGUGCCAGCAGCCGCGGUGAUACGUAGGGUGCGAGCGUUGUCCGGAUUUAUUGGGCGUAAAGGGCUCGUAGGUGGUUGAUCGCGUCGGAAGUGUAAUCUUGGGGCUUAACCCUGAGCGUGCUUUCGAUACGGGUUGACUUGAGGAAGGUAGGGGAGAAUGGAAUUCCUGGUGGAGCGGUGGAAUGCGCAGAUAUCAGGAGGAACACCAGUGGCGAAGGCGGUUCUCUGGGCCUUUCCUGACGCUGAGGAGCGAAAGCGUGGGGAGCGAACAGGCUUAGAUACCCUGGUAGUCCACGCUGUAAACGGUGGGUACUAGGUGUGGGGUCCAUUCCACGGGUUCCGUGCCGUAGCUAACGCUUUAAGUACCCCGCCUGGGGAGUACGGCCGCAAGGCUAAAGCUCAAAGGAAUUGACGGGGCCCCGCACAAGCGGCGGAGCAUGCGGAUUAAUUCGAUGCAACGCGUAGAACCUUACCUGGGUUUGACAUGGAUCGGGAGUGCUCAGAGAUGGGUGUGCCUCUUUUGGGGUCGGUUCACAGGUGGUGCAUGGCUGUCGUCAGCUCGUGUCGUGAGAUGUUGGGUUAAGUCCCGCAACGAGCGCAACCCUUGUUCACUGUUGCCAGCACGUUAUGGUGGGGACUCAGUGGAGACCGCCGGGGUCAACUCGGAGGAAGGUGGGGAUGACGUCAAGUCAUCAUGCCCCUUAUGUCCAGGGCUUCACGCAUGCUACAAUGGCUGGUACAGAGAGUGGCGAGCCUGUGAGGGUGAGCGAAUCUCGGAAAGCCGGUCUCAGUUCGGAUUGGGGUCUGCAACUCGACCUCAUGAAGUCGGAGUCGCUAGUAAUCGCAGAUCAGCAACGCUGCGGUGAAUACGUUCCCGGG
This 1343-nucleotide ribosomal RNA is filed under the name uncultured bacterium. RNAcentral describes it as "16S ribosomal RNA". It matches the Rfam family "Bacterial small subunit ribosomal RNA", at positions 28 to 1378 of the family's 1533-position model. The record is from RNAcentral.